GGGGCUGUGGCUCAGUGGAAGAUCAUCUGCUUGCCAUGCAGAAGGACCAAGGUUCAAUUCCUGACAUCUCCA
Molecule: transfer RNA, 72 nt
Filed under: Sphaerodactylus townsendi
Lineage: Eukaryota; Metazoa; Chordata; Lepidosauria; Squamata; Sphaerodactylidae
Description: tRNA-Gly
Rfam family: tRNA
About the family: Transfer RNA (tRNA) molecules are approximately 80 nucleotides in length. Their secondary structure includes four short double-helical elements and three loops (D, anti-codon, and T loops).
Source: RNAcentral